Molecule: ribosomal RNA, 500 nt
Filed under: uncultured bacterium
Lineage: Bacteria
Description: partial 16S ribosomal RNA
Rfam family: Bacterial small subunit ribosomal RNA
Source: RNAcentral
AUUGAACGCUGGCGGCAUGCCUUACACAUGCAAGUCGAACGGCAGCACGGGAGCAAUCCUGGUGGCGAGUGGCGAACGGGUGAGUAAAGUAUCGGAACGUGCCCAGUCGUGGGGGAUAACGUAGCGAAAGUUACGCUAAUACCGCAUACGAUCUAUGGAUGAAAGCGGGGGAUCGCAAGACCUCGCGCGAUUGGAGCGGCCGAUAUCAGAUUAGGUAGUUGGUGGGGUAAAGGCUCACCAAGCCGACGAUCUGUAGCUGGUCUGAGAGGACGACCAGCCACACGAGGACUGAGACACGGCCCAGACUCCUACGGGAGGCAGCAGUGGGGAAUUUUGGACAAUGGGCGAAAGCCUGAUCCAGCCAUGCCGCGUGCAGGAUGAAGGCCUUCGGGUUGUAAACUGCUUUUGUACGGAACGAAAAGGUUUGGCCUAAUAAGCUGAGCUCAUGACGGUACCGGCAUAAGAAGCACCGGCUAACUACGUGCCAGCCGCCGCGGUAA